RNAcentral lists this ribosomal RNA (379 nucleotides) under Pyrrhalta rufosanguinea. Its description in RNAcentral is "partial 28S ribosomal RNA". The record is from RNAcentral. Lineage: Eukaryota; Metazoa; Arthropoda; Insecta; Coleoptera; Chrysomelidae.
GGUCGAAAGAGGAAAUUCAUUCGCGUUUCGAUCGUCGAAGUUGAACGUUGGUAUGACGGAUGACCUGUGUUUCGGCGCAUGAGUCCGCAUCUAAUGUUCAUCGAGUCGAUGUCGAACGCGUGCACUUUUCCUCUAGUAGGACGUCGUGAUCCGUUGGGUGUCUGUCUAAGACUCGGGGUGGAGACCACGUGAUUAUCUGAUUAUGUGGACCCUCGAUGUUCCGACAGACUCGCUCGACGGUAUAAAUAUGGCGCGGGGCCGCUACUUAAGUUAGCGUUCGGCCCGUAGCAAGCACGUUCCGUGUUCGAUGGCGAUCGGACCUAGUGCCGAUUCUGUCCCGGAACGACUGUUGGUUACGGUGUUCUCGAACAGACCUCGU